This is a non-coding RNA of Caenorhabditis elegans, 150 nucleotides long. NCBI's taxonomy places the organism in Eukaryota, Metazoa, Nematoda, Chromadorea, Rhabditida, Rhabditidae. The record is from Ensembl.
AAGUGGCAGUCGGUCCUUGAAUAUACUCAAUGAUUAUGAGCACCGUUGUAAAUGCUCCCAGACUGAUGCAAAUAAUAAUGACGAUCCACCAGAAUAUUCGCAUUCUUAAUGUUUUGCUCAUCAGGGCUUGGCUCAGACCAUGAACUUCAC